UGUUCCUUCACACAGUAAUAAGAUAUUUGUACUAAGAAUCAAGCAAAGGGAGCACGUCUCCACUGGAGUAACUUUCCUGUAUUAUAAAUGCACUUAAUCUCUUUCACAUUUACAAAAGCUUUGUUAAAUAUCUGUUCUGCAUGUUUCUGGUACUUCCUUUUUUGCCCAUCAUCCUGGUUCUAGCCCAACCUUAACAGGGAGGGUAAGACAGGCCAAGGGUGUUGAUCUUUGUAUAUGUUUCAUUUCAGCAUAUCUCAAAAUUGGAAAAAUCCCAAUACUUAGGAUCCCAGGACUGACGUACACAGCUGUCGAUUGCCGCCCUGCACAGUCAAAAGGAAAUAGCUGUCUUUAUUUAAAGUCUCUGUUGGCACCGCGAUCCAGACAUGCCCUUAGACAAUGAAAUGGACAGAAAUCCAUUUUCCAGGCUGGAAGGAAGGCAACAAAUGAAUUGAAAGAAUGAAGAGUGAAGAGGAAUUGAGGCGUUCACAGGGCUUGCAGCAUGAGUGAUUUGAAGUGAUGGGAAGGAGGCAGGUAUGGCAUUUGUUUGUUUAAAAUAUAGGACUAGACUUGACUUUAAGGUGCACAUUGCAUUGCUGAAAAGUCUGCUGCUGUGUUUCUGCUAAGGAGAUGCACACGUGCAGCACGUAGCGCACGUGCAGUGAUCCCAGUGCAGACCAGUUGCCUGCAGACACAUGGUAACCCUUGCAUGGGGUUCUUCUGGCCACGUGCCCCAAAUGCAGGGCAGUUAAUCUGUGCACGCACCAUGGCCUUUUGUCUGAGUUUCCUGGGUGUCCAAAAAGAAGCUAUAGCCUUCCUCUGCUGAUCUGACCAGGCCCUUAAACAUCAGGCCAUUCACGGCAAGCAGCCAAGCUUGUCUUUUUUGGGCUGGAAGAAAAAGAAUUUUCCAGGGAAAGCUGGAAUAUGACCACACUGACAAAGUCAAGAUGCAAGAUGUCCACCGAGAGAGUGGUUCACGACAGUUUUUAGAUUUCAUCUCAGUCUCCAGAGGAGCCCAGUGACCAACAGGCACCUACUAAAUCUCAUAACAUUCAGUUAAACCAACACCUGUCCAAAGCAUCUGGUGUUCGUACCUGGGGAAGGACCUGCAGGUGGGAGCGCGGUGCUGCUAAGG
RNAcentral lists this long non-coding RNA (1132 nucleotides) under Struthio camelus australis. RNAcentral's name for it is "lncRNA (ENSSCUG00000002155.1)". The record is from RNAcentral. Lineage: Eukaryota; Metazoa; Chordata; Aves; Struthioniformes; Struthionidae.